This 524-nucleotide ribosomal RNA is filed under the name uncultured bacterium. RNAcentral describes it as "partial 16S ribosomal RNA". It matches the Rfam family "Bacterial small subunit ribosomal RNA", at positions 28 to 523 of the family's 1533-position model. The record is from RNAcentral.
GACGAACGCUGGCGGCGUGCUUAACACAUGCAAGUCGAACGAGACGAUUGAAAGCUUGAUUUUAAAAGUCGAGUGGCAAACGGGUGAGUAACGCGUAGACAACCUGCCUUUGAGAUGGGGACAACAGUUCGAAAGGACUGCUAAUACCGAAUGUUGUAUAUUUUCCACCUGGAAGAUAUAUUAAAGAUGGCCUCUAUUUAUAAGCGCUCGCUCAAAGAAGGGUCUGCGGCUGAUUAGCUGUUUGGUGGGGUAACGGCCUACCAAGGCGACGAUCAGUAGCCGGUCUGAGAGGAUGAACGGCCACAUUGGGACUGAGACACGGCCCAGACUCCUACGGGAGGCAGCAGUGGGGAAUCUUCCACAAUGGACGAAAGUCUGAUGGAGCAACGCCGCGUGAGUGAAGAAGGGUUUCGGCUCGUAAAGCUCUGUUGUCGGGGACGAAUGUGCAGUAUUUGAAUAAAGUACUGCAAUGACGGUACCUGACGAGGAAGCCACGGCUAACUACGUGCCAGCCGCCGCGGUAA